RNAcentral lists this long non-coding RNA (1546 nucleotides) under Anas platyrhynchos platyrhynchos (common mallard). RNAcentral describes it as "lncRNA (ENSAPLG00000025095.1)". The record is from RNAcentral. Lineage: Eukaryota; Metazoa; Chordata; Aves; Anseriformes; Anatidae.
CCAAUAUGUUAAUUAAUUAAUCACAGGCAUGUUUCAAAGCAUUCUUCACACAUCAGGUGGGGCUCCUGGGCUAUUAUGAAAUGCCAAACUUCCCUUGGGGCUUUGAGGAUUGCACUUCUAAAUUCCUCAGAAGUUCAGGGAAGUAAAAGGGUAUGUUUUUGGUAUGAGUCACUGAAGUGAGGCUGGAGAUAAAGACUUCUUAUUUUGUUUUAUAUUAUGGAGGAGCAGAAACCACCAAGCAUCUCAGGAAGGAACAAAGUGGAAAGCAAAGAAGUAUUUUUCAAAACCUGUAAGCCUAUUUUUCUAGAGUCACUUAUCUUUUAAUUUAAAAUUAAUCUUAAUUUUGCUGAAGUCAACUUUACUUUCAAGUCUUUGGUAUAUAUCAGCCAACCUCCUCUCAAGUUCUGGGGAGAAACCCAUGGUUACCCUUUGUGCCAGCUCCUCAUGUAGUAAAGGGUGAGUGAACAUAAGUAGCUUUUGCCAUUCAGUACCAAAAACUUGCAAACAAUGAAUGAUUCCCUUUUGUUCUGCAAACAAAACACUAACAUUUAUGUCCAUGAGCCUACAAGGCUAGAUCUGUAGAUCUCCAUGAUGCUCCUUGACAACUAAAUUUUUUUUUUUUUUUUUGGUAGUAAAAGAGCAAUGCCUAUCAAAUAGUUUCAUUCCAUUUCAGUGGAGCUCUGAGUUGAGCAGGAAAUAUCACCAGACUUGAAGAAAGAAAAAUAAAAGAAUUAGCAGACUCGAUGACUAUAGGGAUUUCCUAUUAUUAGGGCUUUUUUUUUAAGCCACACUGCUGUAAAGUUGGUAUGUGCUGCAGGAGUGUAAUCUGCCCAGGGAAGCUCCUCAGCUCUGUAGCUGUGUGAUCAGCCCUGUGCUGUGAGUGCAAGGUAGCACCUGGAAGGUAUCAGCGAGAGAUUCAACAAGAGAGACUGACUAAUGGCCUGUGCCAGCCAGAGUCUGGAGUGUGUCAGGGGCCCAAAAACAGCCUCCCAAAGGACAAUAGUGCAAGCUCAGUGACUCACCCAAGUGGAGCAGAUGCUGCUUACCUACAUUUCUGCUUUGCCAGGAUGCUACUGGACACCACCACGUACUGAGGACAUGUUGAAGGGAUCAUCGGAGCAGCACUGAGGCCAAGCUCCAUGGCAGGAAUGCCAAGCUGCCACCCACGGCUCACCAUGAACCCCUAGCCAAAGCACCCAGGCUGGGAGCUGCUACCCUCAAUGGAAAACCGGGCAGGUUUCCACUUGGGUCUGCCUGGGCUGCACCACAAUUUUGUUGCAAGAGCACAUUUUUGGGAAAACUUCCAUUGAAAUUUUAAGACAAACGAAUGGAAAAUUUCCAUCUCUACCACUGACUAGACCUCUUAGCGUGUAGUUGCUGACUAGGUCUAAUGACUAUUAUGUCAGCCAUUGAGAACUAGCCGAGCAUGCCAAGGUUUACUGAAAAUUAACACCAGAGCCAGCUGCUUUGUGGCUUAUCUAGUUCUGCUGACCUUCUUUCAGAUAAAUGUUGUUUAACAUCAUCUUUGAUUACUUAUGGACUAGAG